AACAGGUUUGAGGGGGCAGAGGUAGGGGACAACAAGUUACCCCAGCCUUUCCCCACCCCCCUCUUCCCCCCACUGCCAUUAAUCAUGCCAGUGCACACUAAACUAAGAAGACACUUAAGGUCCGAAAAGGGGGCGGGGCUAGACGGCACUGUACUACACAGUGCCAUGUUGCCAGCAGCAUGUGAGAAUGGAGGGAAUGUGAUCAGCAGCAUGGCCAAAACAAAAAUGUCACUUUAUGUUAAAAAUGACUGAUACUCCGAGUAAUGAUGAGGACAUAUCCAAUAAAUCUACUGAAUAUGACCCAUCUUACAGGAUGAGGAGUCUGAAUUGGAUAAAAAGAAAGCAACACCAAAAAGGGCUCCACGUUUCACAUAUAUCGAAAACGAGGCACUUAUUGAUGGUGUCCUGACAAAUUAUAAAAUUCUUUUUGGGAAACUCGGUGGCCAGCAAUAUUGUUUUGAAAGGAAAGAAAAAAUUUGGAAAAAAAUUUCCCAAUUAGUUUCCUCUGUUGGAAAGGUUCCUCGUUCUGCAUAUGUUUGCAAGAAACGUUAUUCAGAUUGCAAAAUUGUGGUGAAAAAAAAAAUGUCAAUGAUGCAUCUUCAUGCCAAAAAAACUGGAGGAGGUUCUUGUUUAAAAAUCGACAUGUGCCCAUGGGAGCAAAGGUUAUCUGAAAAGUUGUCUUUAAAUGCUGUAAGGGGGAUUGAAGAAUCUAAUGACACGGAAGCGCCAGUAUCUCCACCAAAAGCAUUCGGUAAUUGUUUUUACAUAAAGAUAGAUAGAUAGAUAGAUAGAUAGAUAGAUAGAUAGAUAGAUAGAUAGAUAGAAUAGUUUGUUCAAGGAAAAAAUAGGCCGGCACUCCAACAAACCAUGUAAAAUAUAAUGCCCAGGUGCCAGUAAUUAAAUUUCAACGUAGAGCGUAAAAAGAUACGCCCAUUGGCAUAUCUAUAAUAGGUGCAGUGUGUGGGAUGCACAUGGGCCCCAGGGUUCAGGGGGGCCCACCGCACACACAAUGCAACCAUUUUUUUAAUACUUAACUUUAUGGAGUCCCUCGUCGGAUACAUCCCUUCUCGCCAGUGCAUGCGCAGCAAUACCUGCAUUCAUUGCCUCACAUGCUGAGAGCCGCCCAGCACAGGACAAGGCCACCCAGCAUGUGUGGCGCUGCCUCAUGAUGCGUACGCUGUGCAGUCAGGCGGUCCGCCGCCAUUUUUUUAAUCAUACCGGCUAUGUGUGAUGUCACGCAGCUGCCUGUCGAAGUUGAAAAAUAUCUCAGUACACACAUCACGUACAAACUACACACAGAUGGCCUCCGUGCGUGUACUUGUUCUGCGGUGCGUGCGCAUGUUCGCUCCCGCGAUCCCGCGCAUUAGCGCGUGGUAUGGGUAUUUACGGUAGAGUUUGUGAACGCAUGGAAAAGCCAUCAAAACACAUUACAUAUUUAAUCCAAAUAGUGCACAAUGUACACAUAGUCUCCAUGCACCACAUCAGCAAGUUACAACAGUUUAAAUGGUAUCAGAACAAAGGGAUUAACCUUUACAGGAUAGGAGGGUACAGAACAAGAUUAUAAGGUCGUGUUUGGUAUCCAGCUGUAGGGUAUUUUAAGGGCAAUAUUCCGGUGUUGGUUUGCAGAAGAUCGCACUUUCCUGCGAAUAGUUAUGCACAGGAGCAGAAUAUAAAUAUAAACUGUAUUUACUGUACAUUUAGUAUGCGGCGGGAACCCAGAGGAGACCACCCACAAGUGCAUCUGGAACAGACAUCGCCCACCUAUUCAAACCAACCAAUGACCUCUCCUGUACUAUAAAUGACCAUCCCUGUGUCCAAUGGACAAAGAGAUUACAGUAUCCAUUGUGUUAAGUUUUGGAAGAUUGUAUAAAUGAGCCAGCUGCAUGCCUGGUCACACACAGACUCUAAAGGUCAUCUACCCAGAUGACUGAGGACCAGACUGGGAAGCGCAGCGAAAACCAAACAAGUAUGUACCAUAGCCAUUAUUCUAUUGUAUUGUUUAUAUUGUUAACCCUUGCAAGUAAAGAACCGUUGGUGGGUUAGACCCCAACCUAGUUUUGAAUUACAA
This is a long non-coding RNA of Pseudophryne corroboree (corroboree frog), 2068 nucleotides long. RefSeq lists it as uncharacterized. NCBI's taxonomy places the organism in Eukaryota, Metazoa, Chordata, Amphibia, Anura, Myobatrachidae. The record is from RefSeq and is a predicted model, not a curated record. The transcript has 2 exons.